CAAGAAAUAACAAUACAAGGCAGUUAAAAUGCUUUGUAAUUGGAAUGAUAGAAAUUUAAACACUUUUUAAAGUAUCAAUUGGAGGGCAAGUCUGGUGCCAGCAGCCGCGGUAAUUCCAGCUCCAAUAGCGUAUAUUAAAAUUGUUGCAGUUAAAAAGCUCGUAGUUGAAUUUCUGUUAAAAAUAACCGGUCUGCUUUUAAUAAAAGUGGUAUCUUGGUGUGUUUUUAGCAAUAAUGUCCUUUGAAAUGUUUUUUACUUUAUUGUAAUAAAUAAUAUUCAGGAUUUUUACUUUGAGAAAAUUAGAGUGUUUCUAGCAGGCUAACGCUUUGAAUACUGCAGCAUGGAAUAAUAAGAUAGGAUUUUAGUUCUACAUUAUUGGUUUUAAGAACUAAAUUAAUGAUUGAUAGGGACAGUUGGGGGCAUUUGUAUUUAACUGUCAGAGGUGAAAUUCUUAGAUUUGUUAAAGACAAACUACUGCGAAAGCAUUUGCCAAAGAUGUUUUCAUUAAUCAAGAACGAAAGUUAGGGGAUCGAAGACGAUCAGAUACCGUCGUAGUCUUAACUAUAAACUAUGCCGACUAGAGAU
RNAcentral lists this ribosomal RNA (585 nucleotides) under Hepatozoon felis. Its description in RNAcentral is "bacterial SSU rRNA". It matches the Rfam family "Eukaryotic small subunit ribosomal RNA", at positions 471 to 1053 of the family's 1831-position model. Lineage: Eukaryota; Apicomplexa; Hepatozoidae. The record is from RNAcentral.